This 209-nucleotide unclassified non-coding RNA is filed under the name Hevea brasiliensis (rubber tree). Lineage: Eukaryota; Viridiplantae; Streptophyta; Magnoliopsida; Malpighiales; Euphorbiaceae. The record is from RNAcentral.
UAUUGUCCAGGGAAGAAAAGAAAUGCACAACCACAAGAAGCUGUCUGGCAAUUGAAAACACAAGCAUCAACAGUAACAUUCUAGAUUAUGCCAGUAAAAUAGGGUUUAAAAGUAUUCAUUAUUUCACGAUAAUAUGCCUAGGAAACCUUCACAAAGUGUAAGAUCUUAUGGAGAUUGUCAUCAUCUCUACUUCCCAAAAACAAAUUGUA